Molecule: long non-coding RNA, 940 nt
Organism: Hipposideros armiger (great roundleaf bat)
Lineage: Eukaryota; Metazoa; Chordata; Mammalia; Chiroptera; Hipposideridae
Exons: 4
Source: RefSeq, a predicted model, not a curated record
CGUCCCUCCCCCACCUCAGCCCAGAGGACCAAAGGAGGGUCAGAGAGGGGCAUGGGAGAUGCUGGACUCACACUUACCUUUGGGACGUAGACGAGCUCACAUCAGCUGAAGGCUAUCGCCUGGGACUCCUCGGAAGCGUGAACAAGCCGCCACCACGCGAAGGCACUGGGGCACAGCCAGCGCGAGGCAGCGAGGUCCCUUCCCAGGGCUUGUUAACACUGUAACCCGGCAGUCGGAGGGAAGCAGCUCCGACUGCCCAGAGCCUACCUAGCCGCUCAUCUGAUGACUCUCUGGCUUCUACACACAGUUGGAGUUCCGCUUGAAACCUGGAUUUAGAGGGGCUCUCUCGCUGCCAUGACGCUCAAUCAAAGCACCUAGAGUGGUCUGGCCGAGACCAGAGGGGGCACCAAGCAGAGCAAGGACAGGGGAAGGCACUGGGAGAGCACCAGAAUUGGAAACAGAGCAGCCGUUUGGACUUGGGCAGGAAGCAGCCGAGCACAGCUUUGGAUCCUUCUUUAGGGAGAUCGAGUUAUGGAUUUAUGGUCCUGGUCAAGCUCGGCCCAGCCCCAGCCAGGGGCGGGCUCAGCAGCAAGAGUUCUGGUGGCAGCGGCGGCAGUAGCAGCGGUAGCAGCGGCAGCAGCAGCUUGAUCCUCUGACUCUCUUCGGUGACGGGUAUUCUUGGGUGGAUAAUACGGAUUACGUUGUUAUUGCUUAAGAAUACGCGUAGUCGAGGAGAGUACCAGCGGCAGGCAGGCAGCGGCCGCCCCCCCCCAGCCCACCAGCUGGCCUCUGAACGCCUGUGGUUGUCAAGGUAGCACUUUUUUUUUUUUAUCUUUUCCUUUCCUCGGUGUUGUCGCGCUUGGUCGUGUGUUAAGCGAUUACAAGUCACAUCCCACAAGAAAGGCUCUGUGCGCCGCACCUCCGGUGACCGGGGCUGUAG